Long non-coding RNA from Podarcis raffonei (Aeolian wall lizard), 1112 nucleotides. RefSeq lists it as uncharacterized. The transcript is spliced from 3 exons. The record is from RefSeq and is a predicted model, not a curated record. NCBI's taxonomy places the organism in Eukaryota, Metazoa, Chordata, Lepidosauria, Squamata, Lacertidae.
UGGGCUUGAAAGAGGAUCAAGAAGGCCAGAAGGCCAGAGAAGGAAUUGCUGAUCAUUGAUGAUCAUGUCAGACCAACAUCCUUCCUACUCUGCCACACCCAGUGACCCUGAGUGCUGAGCCAAGGAAAGAUAAAUGCAUCAGAACAGAAAAAUAUCUGGGGAGAUUAUAUUUGCCAUAGUUUAUAGGUUUGUGUAUUUGAGAGAGAGGUGAUGGUGCCACAGCCCUGUCUACACUACCUUUCUUCCUCACAACCAUCUCCAAGGCAGCUGCCAGGAAGCAUGAUAAUAUUUUUUUAAGGCAAUGGUGAGUGUGAAAGCUCUGGAGGGAUGGGGGUGGGAAAUGUCCAUACCUCAACCCUUAUUAAUUACUGCUGCUACUAAUGGUUGUUGAUUAGUGGUUGUUCCCAACUUCUAAUCUUUGAAGGUUCUGUGGUAACCAUAGAGGAAAAUAACAAAAACUGCUGCUCUUUCAAGGUUCCAUGUGUUACCAUGAUCACCAUAGGGGAAACAGCCCCUCCCCUGGAAGUGUGCUACCUAGCAACUGGGCCAGGUAGCACUAGAGGUUUAGGUUCCCAUGUGACGAGAAAUUUCCCUAUCUGCUCUGCUAAAUAGUCUGUUGCCCCUGAUUCUUCCCACCAGCAGGGCUGACCACUGAAGGUGGAAAUCGUCCACACCCUAAGCUGUAGAUAUUCUGCUACCAACACAAAUUAGGGUGUUUUUUAUUAUUAUUACGUUUCCAUCAAUUUCACAACACCAACACCACAUUUUCCCAACCCAAGCCCCCUUUGAAAACCAUCCUUUACUGACUACAAUAGGGGCUGAAAAUAAGGGAAGGUGAUGUGAUGCCCCACGCUUUGGAAAUCUGCAGAAGAACCAGCAGACUCGGCUUGACACUAUUUACUCAAUCAUACACUUAACAAGUGUUCCCUGAACAAUCCCUGCCCUUCUGCACCCCCUUGUGGGCCAGGGUGGGAUUCUCAACAACCACAACAGAGUGCUGGAUUUUCGUGGAAUGAUUUCUGCAAGAACAGAAUGGGCUGGAAGGCCACUGAAGCAGGUGUGGCUCCCACAGAGGUUACUCUGAAAUACAAAUGGACAGCCCUUCAUUGUUG